GACGAACCGUACGAACGUUAUUCGGAAUCACUGGGCGUAAAGGGCGCGUAGGCGGCGCGACAAGUCAAUGGUGAAAGCCCGAGGCUCAACUUCGGGUCGGCCACUGAUACUGUUGGGCUUGAGCACUGUAGAGGCAGGUGGAAUUCCGGGUGUAGCGGUGGAAUGCGUAGAGAUCCGGAAGAACACCGGUGGCGAAGGCGGCCUGCUGGGCAGUAGCUGACGCUGAGGCGCGACAGCGUGGGGAGCAAACAGG
Molecule: ribosomal RNA, 253 nt
Filed under: uncultured bacterium
Lineage: Bacteria
Description: partial 16S ribosomal RNA
Rfam family: Bacterial small subunit ribosomal RNA
Source: RNAcentral